GGUUGUGAUCAUACCAGCACUAAUGCACCGGAUCCCAACAGAACUCCGCAGUUAAGCGUGCUUGGGCGAGAGUAGUACUCGGAUGGGUGACCCCCUGGGAAGUCCUCGUGUUGCAACCCC
This 120-nucleotide ribosomal RNA is filed under the name Helianthus annuus (common sunflower). Lineage: Eukaryota; Viridiplantae; Streptophyta; Magnoliopsida; Asterales; Asteraceae. The record is from RNAcentral.